CGGAGGAUAAGAAACUAACAAGGAUUCCCUCAGUAGCGGCGAGCGAAGCGGGAAGAGCUCAACAUGAAAACCAGAGGGGGCUUUCGCCGACCUCUGGGUUGUAUAGUAAAGUGGUGUCGCCUGCGUCGCGCCGGGUAUAAAUCCCGUUUGGAAUGGGGUGUCGUAGAGGGUGAUAACCCCGUCUGUGACCCGGUCGUUGAUGCGUUACGGUGACCUUACGAUGAGUCGGGUUGCUUGGGCAUGCAGCCCAAAGUGGGUGGUAAACUUCAUCUAAAGCUAAAUACCAGCGAGAGACCGAUAGCGUACAAGUACCGUAAGGGAAAGAUGCAAAGAACUUUGAAAAGAGAGUCAAACAGGGCUUGAAACCGUUAAGAGUGAAGCGAAGGAGGUCAGUGAUCAUGGGGCCAGAUCCCCAAGUGCCUUAUUCAAUGGGGCACCGUAGCGUUCUGGUUUUUUCCCGGGGCAGCGCCGGCUGGGGGUUUGCGUCAACGGGGAGGUGGUUGAGGGAUUUAUUUCCCACCUCUUACUCCCUUCUAGCUUUCUUCCCUGGCCGAGGGAUCCGCGACUUGUCGUGUGAGGGCGCUGUCAAAAUGGCCUUCUCCACCCCGUCUUGAAACACGGACCAAGGAGUCUAACAUACUCGCGAGUGUUUGGGUGGUUAAAACCCGAACGCACAAUGAAAGUAAACGGUGGCUCUGCGCUGCUGCUUGGUGGGAACCCUUCUCGCAUAAAGGGGGGCACCAUCACCCGACCCCGAUCCCCUAGGGGUGGUUGGUUUUGAGGCAGAGCGAGUAUGAUGGGACCCGAAAGAUGGUGAACUAUUCCUGAGUAGGGCGAAGCCAGAGGAAACUCUGGUGGAGGCUCGUAGCGAUGCUGACGUGCAAAUCGCUCGUCGAACUUGGGUAUAGGGGCGAAAGACUAAUCGAACCAUCUAGUAGCU
This 940-nucleotide ribosomal RNA is filed under the name Pyropia katadae. RNAcentral describes it as "eukaryotic LSU rRNA". It matches the Rfam family "Eukaryotic large subunit ribosomal RNA", at positions 51 to 952 of the family's 3401-position model. Lineage: Eukaryota; Rhodophyta; Bangiophyceae; Bangiales; Bangiaceae. The record is from RNAcentral.